Molecule: transfer RNA, 90 nt
Filed under: bacterium
Lineage: Bacteria
Also listed under: 8 other names
Description: tRNA-Ser
Rfam family: tRNA
About the family: Transfer RNA (tRNA) molecules are approximately 80 nucleotides in length. Their secondary structure includes four short double-helical elements and three loops (D, anti-codon, and T loops). Further hydrogen bonds mediate the characteristic L-shaped molecular structure. tRNAs have two regions of fundamental functional importance: the anti-codon, which is responsible for specific mRNA codon recognition, and the 3' end, to which the tRNAs corresponding amino acid is attached (by aminoacyl-tRNA synthetases). tRNAs cope with the degeneracy of the genetic code in two manners: having more than one tRNA (with a specific anti-codon) for a particular amino acid; and 'wobble' base-pairing, i.e. permitting non-standard base-pairing at the 3rd anti-codon position.
Source: RNAcentral
GGUGAGGUGCGAGAGUGGUUGAAUCGGGCGGUCUCGAAAACCGUUGAACCUUUGCGGGUUCCGUGGGUUCGAAUCCCACCCUCACCGCCA